RNAcentral lists this ribosomal RNA (490 nucleotides) under uncultured bacterium. Its description in RNAcentral is "partial 16S ribosomal RNA". It matches the Rfam family "Bacterial small subunit ribosomal RNA", at positions 30 to 507 of the family's 1533-position model. The record is from RNAcentral.
AUUGAACGCUGGCGGCAGGCCUAACACAUGCAAGUCGAACGGUAACAGGAAGCAGCUUGCUGCUUUGCUGACGAGUGGCGGACGGGUGAGUAAUGUCUGGGAAACUGCCUGAUGGAGGGGGAUAACUACUGGAAACGGUAGCUAAUACCGCAUAACGUCGCAAGACCAAAGAGGGGGACCUUCGGGCCUCUUGCCAUCGGAUGUGCCCAGAUGGGAUUAGCUAGUAGGUGGGGUAACGGCUCACCUAGGCGACGAUCCCUAGCUGGUCUGAGAGGAUGACCUGCCACACUGGAACUGAGACACGGUCCAGACUCCUACGGGAGGCAGCAGUGGGGAAUAUUGCACAAUGGGCGCAAGCCUGAUGCAGCCAUGCCGCGUGUAUGAAGAAGGCCUUCGGGUUGUAAAGUACUUUCAGCGGAGAGGAAGGGAGUAAAGUUAAUACCUUUGCUCAUUGACGUUACCCGCAGAAGAAGCACCGGCUAACUCCGUG